GCCUACGGGGGGCAGCAGUAGGGAAUCUUCGGCAAUGGACGAAAGUCUGACCGAGCAACGCCGCGUGAGUGAAGAAGGUUUUCGGAUCGUAAAACUCUGUUGUUAGAGAAGAACAUUGAUUAGAGUGGAAAAUUAAUCAAGUGACGGUAUCUAACCAGAAAGGGACGGCUAACUACGUGCCAGCAGCCGCGGUAAUACGUAGGUCCCGAGCGUUGUCCGGAUUUAUUGGGCGUAAAGCGAGCGCAGGUGGUUUAAUAAGUCUGAUGUAGAAGGCAGUGGCUCAACCAUUGUGUGCAUUGGAAACU
This 305-nucleotide ribosomal RNA is filed under the name uncultured bacterium. RNAcentral describes it as "bacterial SSU rRNA". It matches the Rfam family "Bacterial small subunit ribosomal RNA", at positions 337 to 634 of the family's 1533-position model. The record is from RNAcentral.